Molecule: ribosomal RNA, 429 nt
Filed under: uncultured archaeon
Lineage: Archaea
Description: bacterial SSU rRNA
Rfam family: Archaeal small subunit ribosomal RNA
Source: RNAcentral
UACCUGCAGCUCGAGUGGUAACCGCUAUUAUUGGGCCUAAAGCGUCCGUAGCCGGUUUGGUAAAUAUCUGGGUAAAUCGUGAGGCUUAACUUCACGAAUUUCGGAUAGACUGCCAGACUUGGGAUCGGGGGAGGUCAGAGGUACUCCAGGGGUAGCGGUGAAAUGUUGUAAUCCUUGGAGGACCACCGGUAGCGAAGGCGUCUGACUAGAACGAGUCCGACGGUGAGGGACGAAGCCCUGGGGCGCAAACCGGAUUAGAUACCCGGGUAGUCCAGGGUGUAAACGAUGUGGGCUUUGUAUUGGAGGUCCCACGUGGGCGUCCAGUGCAGAAGAGAAGUUGUUAAGCCCACCGCCUGGGAAGUACGGUCGCAAGGCUGAGACUUAAAGGAAUUGGCGGGGAAGCACAGCAACGGGAGGAGCGUGCGGUUU